Styela clava is the source of this 5288-nucleotide non-coding RNA. The record is from RefSeq and is a predicted model, not a curated record. NCBI's taxonomy places the organism in Eukaryota, Metazoa, Chordata, Ascidiacea, Stolidobranchia, Styelidae.
AGUUUAAAAAGAAAUGAUGAUGAUAAUGGUGAGAUCAAAAAUUGUUUUUUAACCGAAGGUUCGAGAAAAAGCAACGAAAAAAUGAUGAAAAAAGCGGGAAAAGUACGCCGAAUUCGGACCGUGGAAAUGUUGAAGAAGGCAAAAAAUGGGGACAUAAGAAAAGUAAUGACAAGUUUCAACCGAUGGAAAAUCAACGUAAGAAAAAGCGUCACCAACAAAAAUGGGGGAGGCGUACUCAGCAAUUUCGUGAAAUAAUAGGCAAACACAUGAACAUGGCAAAAGAAGCGGGAAAAAAGGUCGCCACAUCACUUAUGCCGAUUUACGAUAAAUGGCAGAAAGUCUAUUGCGAUAUUGAGAAGAAAAUUUUACCAAAAUCAUUCACUGAAAUUUGGGAAUCUCUUGGCAAUGAAGAAAGUAUGAGAAAUGUCAUGUAUGGACCAGUUUCUGAACAUGGUGAACGGAAGAAAUCAACUGUGGAUUGGGGAUGGGGAAUAUAUAACAACUUCACUGACCUGAUGGCUCCCGUAAUCCAGCUUCCAGAAAAGAUUGAAUUCCCAUCUUGGGAAACUUCUGAAGAAGAAUUAAUUCAAGAAAGUGAUGAUGAUGAUGAUGAUACUUUUGACGAUGAUGAGGAUUUACUUUUUGAAGAUGAUGAACCAAUCGCAUUGGAAGACCCACAAUGGUUUACACAUAUGUUCAAAGCUCGAGAAAGUUUGAGAAAAGAUUGGGGGGAUUCCCCACUUUCUGAGGAGGAGUUCGACUGGUUUUUACGCAUGUUUGAAGGCAGGGAGGAACUUCGCAAAUCUGGAGAAAAGUAUCCAAGUAACCAUGGAAACGACGACGAGCUUGACUGGUUUUUAAAAAUGUUCGAAGCUCGUGCCCGACUUCGUUUCGAAAAUAAGGAAGUUGAAAAGAACUGGUAUCUUAAAAUGGCUGAAGCUCGCAACAAAGCAAGGUCAAAGGUCGAUUACGAAGGGUCAGAGUUCAUCAAUUGGUACGAGAAAAUGUCAAAAGCUAGAGAAAAACUUCGCAAACAACAAGAAAGAAAAUUAGUCAGAGAUGAACAAAAUGGUGAUUGGUUCUGAAACGAAUGAAAAGCAGACAAAAAUCAAGAGAAAAUGAUGACGGUUAUGAUUUCAAAUCAAGAUGAAGAAUGGUGCCUGGCAUAAACCAUUGCAGAUAAGAAGUAACUGAAAGAAAAAAAACAGCAAAAUUAGUGAAAAAAAUGUGUAUUUUUGACAGUAUUCAAAGUGAUAUAGCUUAUAUAUUUUCAUUCACAUUUUAGAUUUAAAAUUAUGUCUAAGGUCUUGCAUCAGUAACUUUUUGACCUUUAUUUGGUGAUUUAAAAGUUUAUCAAAACUCAUGUUUCAAGAUUCUAUGCCAAGCAUAUGCUUCGUACUGUUCGAGAAGUUGGGCUAGCUAUCUCUACAACCUUGCAUUGUCAAUGUGAUAAAGUUAAUUAGUUGUAGAGAUAGCAGCCCCGCUCGAUUAUUGACUGCUCGAAUUUGAAGGCAGUUUUCAAUUUCUGUGCACCAAUGGGUCUCGAACCCCAUGGGGGCAUAUUAUUUCACUUUGUAACCAUUUAUGUUACAUUAUUCAUGUCAUUUGUGUAUAAAAAUGCUUGAACACAGCUUCUCAGAUGUUGUCACCGUUGGGUCUCCAUUCCUCGCCUAUUAUCCUUUUAUUUUCCAUUGAAACAUUUUCUGUUUUGUUAUACAUAAAAAUGCUGUCACAGCUGGGUUAGAAUUACCCUCUGGCACCCUCGGUAUCCAACUUGCUAUUCCUCACCUAUUAUUUUCACCCUUAUAACCAUUUCUGUCCUGUUGUGUAACUAUAUAUCAUUUGUACAUAAAAAUUCUGACACCACUGGGUCUCGAACCCUUGGUAUGUAACUUACUAUUUCACUCUUAUAACCAGUUUUGUUAUGUAACUAUAUAUCAUUUGUAUAUAAAAUCUCUUACCAAUCAGUAUUAAGCACAGACAUAGGAAUUGUCUGUAAAGUCUGUCUGAUGUCAUUACUGUAAAUUUUGUCACAAAUUGAUAUCAGAAUAAUUUGAGAACAUGGAAAUUAUGUCUGAAUGUUGUCCAAUUCACUUGAGACUAAAAUCCUUAACAUACAUUUGCAUUUAUUUUAAAGUACACAUCUAGUGUAGCUGCACUAAUAUCAUACCUGUUGUUUAUAUAUGGCUCCCAAUGUUCUUUCAUAGAAGGGGCAUUUGUCUUUUUACUGCGUUUCCCCGAAAAUAAGACAGGAUCUUAUUUUAAUUUUAUUGGAUGUCUUCUAUUUUCAUUUACCAAAAACAUAAUUACAACAAAGUAGAUAACCUAAUUAUGAGAUUUUCAAAUAUAUAGAUUACCGGUAAUCGUUUAAAACGUGUAGGAAGGAUUUUAGCUAUCGAUUCGACCUUAUUUUAAGAGGAGGACUCAGAUUAAAAUCAUUUUUUAAAUUCAGACUAGGUCUUAUUUUUGAGGGAACACAAUAGUAUUUGAAAUCUGAUGUCACCUAAAAAUGAACUUCAUUUAACUUUUGACUCUUAAAAAAAUUGAAAAUCAUUCAAAACAUUUUGUAUCUCAACAAUUCUUUCUUACUAAAUUGAAUGUCAACUCUGAUUGCAUUGAUUGCAACCAUUUGCUGUGAUAGGUGCGCAUGACAUGUUAUGAUUUGUAGGAUCAGCUUAUGCUAAUUAUUAUAAAUUUACUGUUUUAAGACGUUUUUAGGGGUCGGCGAUAUUCGGUAUUAUAUUUUAUAGUCUCAUAUGACCACGUAUCAAUUUUUGACAAAUUUUCCAUUGCAUGUUCCAUCGUUGUCACAAAUAAUCAAAAACAUUAUUAUAUCAUCAAAGAUUUUUUGUGUCAAAAUUCACCAAAAAUCAAAACCAUGAAAAAAUAAAUGAUUUGGCCAUCUUUUAAGUUCCAUUUAUUAAGGAAAAUCAUAUUCUAUUACUCAGGCACACACUGUCUAUUGUUCUGUAAUAAUUCUUCAUUUGUCAUUUCAUCAUCACUAUUGGUAUUGUUUGUUGUUCUUUAUAUCUUAAAUACUAACGCUGGUGUUCUGUUGGUCUGAUAUAAAAUUUCUAUAAAACUAUCGUAACCAGAGAUGGACUCUCCUGCAUUCAAUUUAUCAAAAAUUGUAUUUGUAUUUUCGAACUCUUUUUAUGAGUAAUUUUGACCAUUUAAUAUCAUCAUCAUAAUGAGGUAUUCAAAUUUGGUAACGAGAAUUGGCUUUCCUUUUGACUUCCUUUACUCUUCCUUUAUGCCUUUGAUUUGGAGGAUUCGUUUCAUUUAAUGCAAGGUUGCUUCAGUACAGUGGUUCUCAAACUUUUUAAGUCGCGCCCCCUUUUUAGAAUUUGUCAAGUCUCGCGCCCACCUCAAAAAAGAACUAGCUAACAAUAAGCUACAAAUAACAGAUAGUGAGGCGAAAGUAUGUUUUAUAUUCAACAACAAAAAAACAUAAAAAUCAGUGUGGAUCCAACCUACCAAAUAUUUUUAUUUUCAAUUAGUUUCACGCCCGUCAACUUGUUGGGCGUGCUCCACCGUUUGAGAUCCACUUCUGUAGCAGGAAUGAAUUUGACUAUUCUACGAGAUUCUUGCUGUGCACUAAUGCAAAUGUAUUCCAACCACUUCUGUGGCAGGAAUAAUUUUAACUAUUCUACGAGAUUCUUGCUGUGCACUAACGCAAAUGUAUUCCUAUGAUAAGCCUGCCCAUAGUAUUCUAUUUUCUUUCAUACAAUCAUAUCCAUCGCCUAUAAAAAGCAUCCUAUUCUGGCACAUUAUCUCCACUUCAUUCUCAUAAGUUCUAUUUGUACAUAAUCAUUGACUUUGUCCUAUUAACCAUCCAUUUUUUCCAUGAUUUUAUCGAUAUAUCUUUCACUUUGUAGACAAUCAUUUUAGUAUUUUGGUGUUCGUAUUAUAUCUUUCUCAUAAAGCGCUAUCACACAGCCCUAUUUUUUUCUUAUAUUAUUUUCGUGUGAGUUUUAUUGUACAAUAUGUUAUCUUUAUUGUUAAAAAUUGAUAAAAAAUAUUUUUUCGUUUAUUUUUGGGUGUACCAGUAGAUAUUACUAUAUUCUAAAGCUUAUUUUUGAUGUUUUAUCAUUUUGUAUAUACUUUGUUUUAUUGGCAUGUUUAUAUAAGCAUUUUUUGUACUUGGAAACUGUUUGUAUUUUGCUUUUUUAUGUUGAGUAUUCAUGAGUUGUUUUGCCCUGAACAUGGCUCGUUACAAAGUGUCAUUCUUGUGUAGGAAUUUACUGGGCGCAAUAGCCUAACAGUGAUUCUCAGCUUUUUUGAAUUUCUAGAAGUAUAAUUAUUCAUGCAUUAGUGACAACUUGUAGUGAGAUUCAUUUAGAAUUAGAGUGUAAGAAGGUGCCUCGGACGUAAUUUAAUAAAAAUUGGGAUUCACAGUGUUUUAGUGGAUAAUCAUGAAAUUGAAAAAUAAGAUCUUUACUUAAUGUGCCUCUGUAGUUUAGAUCCAAUGCUCCUACGCCUCCACACUUCCAGUAAUUUUUUUUUUUUUAAUUAUUAUUAAAGAUUUAUUUAAAAAAAUUAAAAGUCCACAAUAAAUUAUGUCAGUCAAGAGUGAAUACACGAAAAGGAAAUAUUAAUAAGCAUCACGUACGAGGAAUGCAACUUUGAAACCUCGUAUCUCACGAACCUUAAUAAAUUAUAGCAGGAUAAGUUUUACAUUGUGUGAAAGAUAAUAUUAAAGACUAAUUAUAAUUUCAAAAUCAAAAUAGCGCAUUGCGGUUGUCUUACAAAAAUUGGCAAAAAGGGAUGUAUAAUAUAUUAUUAAAAAGAAAUGGAUUCACACUAAAACAUUAGUUUUAUCCCCAAAUAUGUUUUUGAUAAGUUGAGAUUCAGGUAUGGGCAAAAGAAGCACCAUUAUUGAUCUUCCGCAUGUAACUGGCACAGCGUAACACAACCUUAGAUGACUCGCCUAUAAAACAAGUUCAAAUUCUGGGAAAUUAUUCCUAAUAUCAAAAACUUCAUUUCUUGUUUUUGUUCUAAAUUUCGAUAUUCAAUUUUUUCAAACUGCACUUUUUCAAGAAAAGUUUUCAAAAUUGCAUUCUAUGACACAAUUUUAGAAAGACAUUAUUUUUUUCUUCAACUAAGACGAAUCUAUUGUUCAAAUUAGUUUAAUUAAUGAGUCCAUUUGUUUUUUUUUAGUUUUAUUGCGGAAAUUUUUCACAUUUUCAAAUGUCAUCUUCUUGUUUUAUUCUUUUUAUUAAAUCACAACGGUGAUGGGAAUUUCAUUAUGAUGUAACAAAUACAAGCACAAUCUUGUUGGAAAUGUC